Non-coding RNA from Cygnus olor (mute swan), 1492 nucleotides. Lineage: Eukaryota; Metazoa; Chordata; Aves; Anseriformes; Anatidae. The record is from the annotation of a RefSeq genome assembly.
GGCGCUGCCCCGGCGAGGGCCCGACUUGUGGUGCGGGCAGGAGCGGCCCGAGCGCGGCCCCGCUCUGCUCGUGUCCGCCUCCCGCCGGGCGCGGCAGGGCCCGAUGGCGGCCGGGCUGGGGCCGCGGCUGCUGGCCUUGGCCUUGGCCUUGGGGCCGGCCGGUGUGUGGGCACAGUGGAGGCUGGUGGAGUCUGGCGGAGGUCUGCGAGCACCUGGAGACUCCGUGAAGCUCUCCUGCCAGGGAUCCGGAUUCAAAUUUGAAGAUUAUUAUGUCUUGUGGUACCGUCAGGCACCUGGUGGCAGUCUCGAGUGGGUGUCUUACAUCAGCCAGCCAUCUGGUACUACAAAGCAAUACGGGGCUGCAGUAAAAGGUCGAGCCACAGCCUCCCGGGACAAUUCACGGGCCGAGUCAUCUCUUUCCCUCCACCGCCUGCAUGUGGGCGACUCAGCCCACUAUUUUUGUGCUGUUCGCACAGGGACACGAAAUACUGCAGGGCUUUAACAAAAACCCCUUUCCAGGGCAUGGCGAAAGCUGUGUGAGCUGCAGGGCUGGUUUUGGCUGUGUCAACUGUACGCUUCUCCCAGGGAGCAAAGGUGCAUCACUGUACACCACAGAUGGCCCUGUCCUUUCUGCAAGAGUUCCUUUCUCUUAAUCACCCCUUUCUCUGAAGUCCCCAAAGCAGUAUUGUAGUCUGGGGAGGAUGUUCAACAUAUUUCUGGUCACUAAACCAGCUUGUCUGCUUUACCUGCCUGCAGCCCCUCUCUGCCUGCCUUUGGUCUCCUUCUUCACUUGGGCUUUAGAAGAAAUGUUGCCGGUUUCCAUUGUUACUCCCCUCAGUGACCCAUCCCUAGGCCAUUUCCAUGGGCUGGAAAAAGAAAAGCAGUUGUGUGAAGAGCCGUGCUGUGACUUCAGUUGCGUUUCAGGGCAGUGAGAUCCAAGCAAUGAAGUCUGCAUUGCGGGGCUGAGCACAGUACACGGAGACCCUGCGAUGCACUUACAGGUCCAACGCUUCUUAUGUUUACAUGGCCUGUCACCAGCAGCAUCCCAGUUGGCAGUACUUGCUCCAGACAAGGGCCAAGGAAGCUACUACAGCCCUAAGCCUGUACAGUCUCUGCAGACAAUGGGAUUGCUGAAUCUCCUGCAGUGUGCCCAAGGUCUUUCUCUAGGAGAUAUUCCAUAGAAGAUAGUACAGGAGGAGUUGGGAGACUCCCUUGUUGCUCAAAAAUCUUCUCUGCCACCCUAGCCUCAGGCUAUGGCUCAUGCUAAUUGCACUGCAAGUACCCAGGAGGCAGCAAGCAGCUGCAGUGAACCUGUCCAGAGCAAUAGGCUAAGCUCUGGGGAAAUUACAGGCAAACUCACUUUGGCAGUAGGCUAUGAAGAAGAACAGAUAUGCCUGUGCAUGCCAGCUCUCAAGAAAAAUCCACACACCUUGUCCUGUAGGCAAAUGCUGUUGUUGAUAGAAUAGAAAGAAGGGAUGCCACCCAAAGGGAC